Molecule: non-coding RNA, 413 nt
Organism: Heterocephalus glaber (naked mole-rat)
Lineage: Eukaryota; Metazoa; Chordata; Mammalia; Rodentia; Bathyergidae
Source: RefSeq, a predicted model, not a curated record
GACUAACUGGAAUGCUUAGAGUGGAGGAGAUGCGAAUCUUGUCUUCAUGGGCUCCUCUCUUCUCUCUUGGCCAUAUAAAGUCCUCUAUUUGCUUAUUCUGUACAUGUUGGAUGAGUGGACUCAAUCAAUACGUGAUCUUUUGAGACUGAUUUUUUUCUACUUAACAUAAUGUUUUCCAGAUUCAUCUCUGCUUUUGUAUGUAUCGAAAAAGAAAAAAAAGGAGCUUGGUGGAACAUUUUCUCUCUGAAGAAUUUUGAACUCUUUACAGAUGAUUGGCAUAGUACUCAGUUUCCUGAUAUCUUUUUUAAGAUUUCCUCCCUGAGGAAACUGUCUCACAGAGGAAGAAUGAAGCUUCUGACCACAUCCUGAUGUCCUGGAGUGUGGUUGAGCAGCCUUUUUCAGGUCUCAGGAAA